RNAcentral lists this ribosomal RNA (253 nucleotides) under uncultured bacterium. Its description in RNAcentral is "partial 16S ribosomal RNA". It matches the Rfam family "Bacterial small subunit ribosomal RNA", at positions 524 to 776 of the family's 1533-position model. The record is from RNAcentral. RNAcentral also lists the same sequence under 1 other name.
UACGGAGGAUGCAAGCGUUAUCCGGAUUCAUUGGGUUUAAAGGGUGCGCAGGCGGACUAUUAAGUCAGAGGUGAAAUGCUACGGCUCAACCGUGGAACUGCCUUUGAUACUGCUAGUCUUGAGUUUAAUUGAAGUGGGCGGAAUGUAGCAUGUAGCGGUGAAAUGCAUAGAGAUGCUACAGAACACCGAUAGCGAAGGCAGCUCACUAAGUUACAACUGACGCUCAUGCACGAAAGCGUGGGGAUCAAACAGG